This 448-nucleotide ribosomal RNA is filed under the name uncultured bacterium. RNAcentral describes it as "partial 16S ribosomal RNA". It matches the Rfam family "Bacterial small subunit ribosomal RNA", at positions 329 to 793 of the family's 1533-position model. The record is from RNAcentral.
GCCCAGACUCCUACGGGAGGCAGCAGUGGGGAAUAUUGCACAAUGGGGGAAACCCUGAUGCAGCAACGCCGCGUGGGUGAAGGAGCGUUUCGGCGCGUAAAGCCCUGUCAGCGGGGAAGAAGAAAGACGGUACCCGACCAAGAAGCCCCGACUAACUACGUGCCAGCAGCCGCGGUAAUACGUAGGGGGCGAGCGUUAUCCGGAAUUACUGGGUGUAAAGGGAGCGUAGACGGCGAGGUAAGCCUGAAGUGGUAGCCCGCGGCCCAACCGCGGAACUGCUUUGGGAACUGUUUUGCUGGAGUAUGGGAGGGGUAAGCGGAAUUCCUGGUGUAGCGGUGAAAUGCGUAGAUAUCAGGAGGAACACCGGUGGCGAAGGCGGUCAACUGGACAGCAACUGACGCUGAGGCGCGAAAGCGUGGGGAGCAAACAGGAUUAGAUACCCGUGUAC